Molecule: long non-coding RNA, 1180 nt
Organism: Cyprinus carpio (common carp)
Lineage: Eukaryota; Metazoa; Chordata; Actinopteri; Cypriniformes; Cyprinidae
Exons: 3
Source: RefSeq, a predicted model, not a curated record
CGGUGGGUGGGCGUGUCCAUGACGUCACCCUCGAGCUCUCCUCAACGCUCACAGCUGUGGUUUCUACGGAGCGGAGCUUGAAAUCAGACGCGCCGAGCGAGACGCAGCGCUAUCCGGGGGAUUUAAACCGCUAUUCGCCGCCGCCCGCCACCGGAGCUCUCUCUAUCGCCUUGGAUCUGCUCUCUCCUUGGAUUAUUAUCGUCCUUUAUCCCUUCCACGAAGAUGUAAGGAGGUUUUUUCCCGUGCAGAAUAACGGAGAACACGGGGACGCGCUCGUUAAAACCAGGUUCAACUGAGGCAGCCAAAGAAAACGCCACUAAAAACAGCCGAAGAAUGAGGCAGAAGGAAUAUUAAAAACAGCAGAGAGGCUGAAGCAGAUACAGUACGUGCUGAUGAGUUCCUUGCGGUGGCAGGCGGUGUAACGACCCUCUGACCUGCUGGGUAAACAACCAGAGAGUAUCUGACUCCAAAUAAGGCCAACACAUCCACAGCACAGAGCAGUGGCAACCUGCCAUCCUCCACACACACACACACACACACACACACACACACACACACACACACACACACACACAUUACUGUCUUUCUGAAGCCCGCCUGCUCUCUUCGCGUGGUUUAUGAAAUGAAAAUCCUGUCAUCAUUUAUUCACCCUCAUGUCACUCAAAACCCAACAAAUUCUUUAUUCUGUAAAACACAAAAUGAGAUAUUUAGCAGUAUGUUCAUGCUGAUCAUUUCCAGCAAAUGCAUAUAGUGACCAUGGCAGUCAAAUUUCAGACCAUAAAAAUGCACCAUGAGAGAGUUUGAAAUGUAGACUUGUGCACUCUAUUUAAAGUCAUAUGAUAGAUUUGUAUUUUCGUUAUUGGCAUUUGUGUACAUUCAAAUCUUGCACAGGAAUAUUUUACACCAACAGGGACAUCAGUGAUGGUUAAAAAGUCAGGGUUACAAAUGUGUACUAAAACUAAAACUGUUAAAUAUUUUUGUUAGUUGAAAUAAAGCUGAAAUAAAAUAUAAAUUAUGAAUAUUAGAUGAAAAAUGUAUUAACUUAUUUCAAUUAAUUGCCAAAGUAAUUUUAAUUUAGUUUAUAUUAAAGCAAUGCAAUUAUUAUCUGGAAAAAAAAGGAAUAAAUCUAAUCUAAAUGAUUUGUAAAAUAAACAAAAACUAAUUUACAGAGGCACAUAAA